GUGAGGGAUAUUGGUCAAUGGGGGGAACCCUGAACCAGCCAUGCCGCGUGAGGGAAUGAGGCCCUACGGGUCGUGAACCUCUUUUAUUCGGGGACAACGGCGGCGUCGGGAACGCCGCGUGAGGGUACCGAAGGAAUAAGCGUCGGCUAACUCCGUGCCAGCAGCCGCGGUAAUACGGAGGACGCGAGCGUUAUCCGGAUUCAUUGGGUUUAAAGGGUGCGCAGGCGGCCGUGCAAGUCAGCGGUGAAAGCCCGGGGCUCAACCCCGGAAGUGCCGUUGAUACUGCAUGGCUGGAAUGCGGUCGAGGCGGGCGGAACGUGGCGUGUAGCGGUGAAAUGCGUAGAUAUGCCACAGAACGCCGAUAGCGGAGGCAGCUCGCCAGGCCUGCAUUGACGCUCGGGCACGAAAGCGUGGGGAUCGAACAGG
Molecule: ribosomal RNA, 426 nt
Filed under: uncultured rumen bacterium
Lineage: Bacteria
Description: bacterial SSU rRNA
Rfam family: Bacterial small subunit ribosomal RNA
Source: RNAcentral